AACGAACGCUGGCGGCAUGCCUAACACAUGCAAGUCGAACGAGACCCUCGGGUCUAGUGGCGCACGGGUGCGUAACGCGUGGGAACCUGCCCUUAGGUUCGGGAUAACUCCCCGAAAGGGGUGCUAAUACCGGAUAAUGUCUUCGGACCAAAGAUUUAUCGCCUUUGGAUGGGCCCGCGUUGGAUUAGCUAGUUGGUAGGGUAAAAGCCUACCAAGGCGACGAUCCAUAGCUGGUCUGAGAGGAUGAUCAGCCACACUGGGACUGAGACACGGCCCAGACUCCUACGGGAGGCAGCAGUGGGGAAUAUUGGACAAUGGGCGAAAGCCUGAUCCAGCAAUGCCGCGUGAGUGAUGAAGGCCUUAGGGUUGUAAAGCUCUUUUACCCGGGAUGAUAAUGACAGUACCGGGAGAAUAAGCUCCGGCUAACUCCGUG
RNAcentral lists this ribosomal RNA (433 nucleotides) under uncultured bacterium. RNAcentral's name for it is "partial 16S ribosomal RNA". It matches the Rfam family "Bacterial small subunit ribosomal RNA", at positions 29 to 507 of the family's 1533-position model. The record is from RNAcentral.